AAAUUACAGAAUUGUUUUGUGUUGUCAAAACCAGCAGGCUACAUAUAACGCUACUGGUCUGUGACCCGGGCUCAGCAGGCUUGUGUGCCACUACACUUUUUUUUUGCCUAUAUAUUUUUAGAACACUUCCUCCCAUUUUCCCCUCAUUUUCAACAGGACAGUUGGAUAUUGGAGGAAUUGUAAUGAAGACUUACUUAUACGUAUUUCUUGAAUUCUAAUUGUGUGUGUAUUAAAGGGAUUGAAGUUGUAGUCAUAGAGAAUAUUUAGAUAAAAGCAAAAUAUCUUGAUCUUAUGGUAUAGGUAGAAACAGAUAGUCAUUCAGAUUUAGCUGGGGGAGAUAAACCAUAAUAUUAUGGUUAGAAUGGUGCAUUCCCUUGAAAAAACAUUCCAAAUAGCUUGGCAUCUGCUUUUUGAUGUAAUUCUUUUGAAAUACUUUUGAGCCUGCUGUGUAAUAUAAUGGCCAAGACCUUGAAUUUUAGAGACUGAUUGAUCUGUCCUGGAAUCCUAGGUUCACUUCUUAACUAACUCUAAGCCUCAAUUUUCUGGUCAAUUAAAAAAUAUAAAAGAAUGAUAACAGAACCUAUUUCAGAAAGGUUAAAUGAGGUAAUUAUCAAGUGUUUAGUACAAUCCCAGGACCCAUUUCAAGCCCUCAAAAGUUAGUUAUUAACUACCUUCUUUUGUUCCUUUGUGAGAAUUUAGAAUUUAUUGAUUGCCAUUGAAGAUUUUUUAGGAUUCAGUGACAGCCAUGCCUUUUCCAAGUAAAAUAUAGCAAUAUAGAGCUUAUCCUGCUAGAGCAGAUGGCAGAACCAAAGGUGAAUUAGAUAAAAAGGAAAGCAAAUAUGGGGGAAUAAUGGUAAGAAAACGUAUAAACAAUAGAAUAAAAUUAAAGAAACCAAAGAUGAAAAUUAGAUAAGAUGUAUUUUGAUUUGCUUAUUACAAAUGCCCCUUGAUAUUUAGUGUCAUUUAAAUAUAUAAGUAAAUUGUAAGCACUUCAUUAUGUCUGUUUGGUAUCAUUACAGAAUGGAAAUACUAAUGCAGAUUUGUUACUUCCAUAUUUCCUCAGUGAAGUCGUGUAACUUUAAAAGGAAGAGGUAUUUGGUAUACACAAACUUAGAUGGCAAUUCUAUUCUAGUAAAUAUUCAAAAGGAGGAUUGUACAGGUUUACACAUGAAAUAUGAAAGUUAGCUCCAACAUAAUGCUGUGGCAUGCUAAUAUUAAAGCUACUAUCCCCAACAAAUAUAUUGUUUGCUAUUACUACUUUGCCAGAUUAAGUGACUUUGUGUCCUCUGGAAAGCAGCCAGUGCUGAGAGGACAAUUGGUACUUGUAUCUCAGCUAUUUUCUAGUUUGCUCGUGUUUGUAUGCCUUCCUAGAGUCAUUUGUGCUUCUUUCUGAACUUGUUGAUUCCAGUUGUACUUGUUUUAUUAUGAAAUUUAAAUAUGUAAGUUGAUAAAAUGUGACUGAAAAAGAAUUGUUUCUAAGAAAACUAAGUUGACUGCUUUGGAAAUACCUGGUAAGGGUGAGUUUUCUGAUUAGGCAGAUGAAAACUAUUAAAAGCCAUGGGACAAUCAUAAAAACGUAGACGUUUUUCAUUUGCAAGUGUUUUUUCACUUCUCAUUCCACUGAGAACACUUAGAGGAUACAUCACAAGUGUGCUUCAUAGAAGAAAAGUAUUAAGGAGUUGAAAUAACAGACUUAUUGAAAGAAAAAGUCUUGGACCUGUAUCAAAUAAUUGAAUUAAAGUGUCUUUUAAAUUAAAAUCUUUAAGAUAGGUUUGCAUCACUUAAAAUCCAAAAACGUUUUUCCUCUGCGUUAAACAAGUUGACCAUCUUCUGCAUGUGGCUGCAUGUGAACAUAUGUAAUGAUAAGCUGUUAUGAUAUCUUUGUAAAUAAAUGUAAUAAAAAGAAAAGUAUUCAUGCUACUUAGAAAAUAUAAUGUGCUAACACUUACAUAAUUAAGUGUCUAAACUGUAAGAAAUAUUUCGUGUAUGAAAUGUUGGAGAGAAGAAAUUAACCCAACAUCAA
This 2023-nucleotide long non-coding RNA is filed under the name Pongo abelii (Sumatran orangutan). RNAcentral describes it as "lincRNA". The record is from RNAcentral. Lineage: Eukaryota; Metazoa; Chordata; Mammalia; Primates; Hominidae.